Long non-coding RNA from Oncorhynchus keta (chum salmon), 423 nucleotides. RefSeq lists it as uncharacterized. The transcript is spliced from 3 exons. NCBI's taxonomy places the organism in Eukaryota, Metazoa, Chordata, Actinopteri, Salmoniformes, Salmonidae. The record is from RefSeq and is a predicted model, not a curated record.
UUUGAGUUCCACUGUGAUCCUGAGAGUCAAUAAUCUCUCUGUCACAGAGUCCUCCACUGAGGAGGACGAUGAUGAGGAAGAGUCGUCGUGCUCUGAGGGGAGUGAGCUGGAGGAGAGUGGGUUGGGCCUGCUGGCCAGGUUCGCAGCCAGCGCCCUCCCGGUCAACCCCGCCCCCCUGCCCCGUCUCCACGACAACAAACACCGUAGCAGGCAAAGCAUUCUGGGUUCUGGUUCUGGUUCUGACCCGUGUGUGUGUCCUCUAGGUUCUGGUUCUGGUUCUGACCUGUGUGUGUGUGUGUCCUCUAGGUUCUGGUUCUGGUUCUGACCUGUGUGUGUGUCCUCUAGGUUCUGGUUCUGGUUCUGACCUGUGUGUGUGUCCUCUAGGUUCUGGUUCUGGUUCUGACCUGUGUGUGUGUCCUCUAG